This 812-nucleotide ribosomal RNA is filed under the name uncultured bacterium. Its description in RNAcentral is "bacterial SSU rRNA". It matches the Rfam family "Bacterial small subunit ribosomal RNA", at positions 38 to 864 of the family's 1533-position model. The record is from RNAcentral.
GGGGGCGCGCCUAACACAUGCAAGUCGAACGAGCGAGAGAGAGCUUGCUUUCUCGAGCGAGUGGCGAACGGGUGAGUAACGCGUGAGGAACCUGCCUCAAAGAGGGGGACAACAGUUGGAAACGACUGCUAAUACCGCAUAAGCCCACGGCUUGGCAUCGAGCAGAGGGAAAAGGAGCAAUCCGCUUUGAGAUGGCCUCGCGUCCGAUUAGCUAGUUGGUGAGGUAACGGCCCACCAAGGCAACGAUCGGUAGCCGGACUGAGAGGUUGAACGGCCACAUUGGGACUGAGACACGGCCCAGACUCCUACGGGAGGCAGCAGUGGGGAAUAUUGCACAAUGGGGGAAACCCUGAUGCAGCGACGCCGCGUGGAGGAAGAAGGUCUUCGGAUUGUAAACUCCUGUUGUUGGGGAAGAUAAUGACGGUACCCAACAAGGAAGUGACGGCUAACUACGUGCCAGCAGCCGCGGUAAAACGUAGGUCACAAGCGUUGUCCGGAAUUACUGGGUGUAAAGGGAGCGCAGGCGGGAAGACAAGUUGGAAGUGAAAUCUAUGGGCUCAACCCAUAAACUGCUUUCAAAACUGUUUUUCUUGAGUAGUGCAGAGGUAGGCGGAAUUCCCGGUGUAGCGGUGGAAUGCGUAGAUAUCGGGAGGAACACCAGUGGCGAAGGCGGCCUACUGGGCACCAACUGACGCUGAGGCUCGAAAGUGUGGGUAGCAAACAGGAUUAGAUACCCUGGUAGUCCACACCGUAAACGAUGAUUAAUAGGUGUUGGAGGAUUGACCCCUUCAGUGCCGCAGUAACACAAUAAG